UUGACCUCGGAUCAGGUAGGGAUACCCGCUGAACUUAAGCAUAUCAAUAAGCGGAGGAAAAGAAACCAACAGGGAUUGUCUCAGUAACGGCGAGUGAAGCGGCAACAGCUCAAAUUUGAAAUCUGCCUCUAGGCCGAGUUGUAAUUUGUAGAAGAUGCUUCGGGUGUGGCACCGGUCUAAGUUCCUUGGAACAGGACGUCAUAGAGGGUGAGAAUCCCGUACGUGACUGGCUGCCUUCGCCCAUGUGAAGCUCUUUCCACGAGUCGCAGUGGUUAGCGAAUGCAGCUCAAAAUAGGCUGCUAUAUUUCAUCUCACGCUAACUAUGGGCAGAGACUGUACCGCACGACUCUAGUGACGCAAGAUCGAAAGAAUUUUGCAAGAGACGUGACCGUCCAUGAUAUUGUGUG
This 407-nucleotide ribosomal RNA is filed under the name uncultured Leotiomycetes. Its description in RNAcentral is "eukaryotic LSU rRNA". It matches the Rfam family "Eukaryotic large subunit ribosomal RNA", at positions 1 to 411 of the family's 3401-position model. The record is from RNAcentral. Lineage: Eukaryota; Fungi; Ascomycota; Leotiomycetes.